Molecule: long non-coding RNA, 500 nt
Filed under: Mytilus galloprovincialis (Mediterranean mussel)
Lineage: Eukaryota; Metazoa; Mollusca; Bivalvia; Mytilida; Mytilidae
Source: RNAcentral
GUCGUUUGUUUAUGUAAUUUAAUUUUCUCUUUUCUCGUUUUUUUAUAUAGAUAAGAACCUUGGUUUUCCCGUUUAAAUGGUUUUACACUAGUAAUUUUGGGGCCCUUUAUAGCUUGUUGUUCUGUGUGAGCCAAGGCUCCGUGUUGAAGGCCGGAAAUUAACCUAUACAUGCUAUAAUGGUUUACUUUUUUAAAUUGUUAUUUGGAUUGAGAGUUGUCUCAUUGCACUCACCCACAUCUUCCCAUAUCUAUGUAUAAUCAGGUGUCACAUGUCAUGUUCAUUUCAAGAGUGGUAAAUGCAGGUUUUAUGAUCAGGUGUCACAUGUUAUGUUCAGUACAGAAGUGGUAAAUGAAGGUUUUAUGAUCAGGUGUUGCAUGUUAUGUUCAGUACAGAAGUGGUGAAUUUAUGUUGAAGAAUCAGGUGUCACAUGACAUGUUUAGAACAGGAGUGGUCAAUGAAAGUUGUAUGAUCAGGUGUCAUAUGACAUGUUUAGAACAGGA